Small nuclear RNA from Sphaerodactylus townsendi, 107 nucleotides. The record is from RefSeq and is a predicted model, not a curated record. Lineage: Eukaryota; Metazoa; Chordata; Lepidosauria; Squamata; Sphaerodactylidae.
AUGCUUGCUUCAGCAGCAUAUAUACUAAUGUGGGAAUGAUACAGAGAAGGUACCAUGAUCAUAGCACAAGGAUGUCACACAAAUGUUCUUAGGCGUUAUAUAUAUUU